CAGAGGCAAAAAACUGAAAUACAUUCAAAAGAACAAGGCAAAGAGAAUGUUGUAGACAGAAAUAUGUAGAUAGCUGUGUCUGUUUUCAUAACCUAAUCGCUUAGUUUUGUUGUUAAUAUCACUACUUUGCCCACAAAAACUGUUGUAAUUAACAAAUAUAAAUCUGGAAUUUGAAAAAUGGUAGAAGUAACAUAAUCACACAAAGGCACUUUAGAUGUGCUUCCUGACUAUUUCCCAAAGGCAGGGAGAAAUAAUACCUUCCUUCCCUGUCAAGUGCAUUCUACAGCAGUGGUUCCCAAAGGUUAUACUGCUACCAUCAGAACAGAAGCAUCUAUGAGCUUGUUAGGACUCUCUGAGCCCCAUCUGACCUACUGAAUCAGAACCUCUUGGGGUGGUCUCAAUUUAAGUGUUUUAGCAAGCUCUCCAGGAAAUCCUUCUAUGCAUUAAUGCUUGAGAAUCACUGCUCAACACACACAGCUAGCAUCAAAACAGGCAUGCUUCUUAUGCAGUAGAAUGAGUAUGUUGCUAAUGCUUAUGUACCUGUGCAGCUAGAAAUGUGUGUGAAGAUUAGAGGUGGGGAAGAUCAGAGAUGGCAACAUCUAUUCAACAAAUAUUUAAAUGCCUGAUGUAGUCUUGGACCUAGGCUAAGUGCUGAGAUCACAAAAGUGAAUAAAGCAUAAUCCCUACCUUUGCAUACCUCAAAGAAUGAACUAUAGAAAUACAGGUUCCCAAAUUAAAAUACUUCAAACCUACAGAGACUAAAGUAAUUUCCAGGAUAAUAAUAUUUGAGCCACAUCCUGACAAGCAUUCUGGUUGUACGAUAUGAUCCAGUGAAAAAUGCUUGAUUCGGAAGACAGUCCAAGCAAAGGUGAUAUGUUCAAAGCCAUGACAGCAUGAGGAAGCAUGGCUCAUUUGGAAAACAGAAUAGUAGCUCAGGAUGGCUAAAAACGAAAUAGCAAAUGGAAGAAGGAGGCAGAAGGUGGAAGUGUGGACUAGGUCCAGAACAUUGUGGCAUGGUAUGUCAUUCUAUGAAGCCUGGUUCUAUGUUGCUAUGGGAGUCAUUGAGAACUUAGAAAUAGGGUGGUGAUGUGUUAAGAUUCCAGUGCUGGAGCAGAAUUUAGGCUGAUUUAAAGGGGCAAAACUGGAUGCAAAGGUUCUAAUGUAAAAAAUAUUGAAAUGGACAAGGGAAAAAUGUACCCAUGGUCUUAAAUAUGAGAGUGAUUAUAAGAAUGAAGCAGAAAAUAUGGCUUCCAGAGAUAUUUAUUCAUGUCAUGAAUAAAAUAUGUAAUAUAGAAUAAGCCUCUCCUCUGUCAUGUCAUCAUGUCCAAUUUUGUGAGCUCUUUGACUCAGAAACUCUCUGAAGCUUUAAGUGGCCUCCUCGGCUGAGCACACCUGGGUCAGUAAUGAACCAUUUGCAAAGGGCUCUGUGUGUUGUGGUUGGAGAUGCUGAGGAGGAGGCCAAUGCAGUUAUAUUAGCUGCCAUAAAACAAGGAACCACAAACUGGAUUGCUUGAAGACAGACAUGUAUUCUCCACAGUUCUGGAGGCCAGAGUCUGAUUUCAAAUUGCCAGCAGUGCCAUGUCUUUGUGAAGGACAUGGGAGGAGAACGUGUUCCAUGCUUUUUUUUUCUAGCUCCUGGUUUUGCUAUCAAUUCUUGAGAUUACUUGUCUUAUAGAAGCGUCACUCUGUUCUCUGCCUCAAUCAUCACAUGGCAUUCUUCUUCCUAUAUGUCUUCAUAUCAUCUUCCCUGUGUGUGUGUUACUUUCUGUUUCUCUACUCUUCUUACAAGGACACCAGUCAUGUAGGACUAAGGACUACCUGCUGACUUCAUCAUAACUUGAUAUAACUGCAGAUACCUUAUUUCCAAAUAAGGUUUCAUUCACAGGUACUAGGGGUUAGGGUUUCAACAUAUCUUUUAGGGGACACAACUCAACCUAUAACAGCUGUUAACUCUUGUGUUAAAACUGUUCAGAGUGAGGCCAGGUGCGGUGGCUCACGCCUGUAAUCCCAGCACUUUGGG
Molecule: long non-coding RNA, 2020 nt
Filed under: Homo sapiens (human)
Lineage: Eukaryota; Metazoa; Chordata; Mammalia; Primates; Hominidae
Description: HSALNT0325478
Source: RNAcentral